GAUGAACGCUGGCGGUAUGCCUAACACAUGCAAGUCGUACGAGAGUUUUUAACUCUAGUGGCGGACGGGUGAGUAAUGCCUAGGAAUCUGCCUAGUGGUGGGGGAUAACGUUCGGAAACGGACGCUAAUACCGCAUACGUCCUACGGGAGAAAGCGGGGGAUCUUCGGACCUCGCGCCAUUAGAUGAGCCUAGGUCGGAUUAGCUAGUUGGUGAGGUAAUGGCUCACCAAGGCGACGAUCCGUAACUGGUCUGAGAGGAUGAUCAGUCACACUGGAACUGAGACACGGUCCAGACUCCUACGGGAGGCAGCAGUGGGGAAUAUUGGACAAUGGGCGAAAGCCUGAUCCAGCCAUGCCGCGUGUGUGAAGAAGGUCUUCGGAUUGUAAAGCACUUUAAGUUGGGAGGAAGGGCAGUAACCUAAUACGUUAUUGUUUUGACGUUACCGACAGAAUAAGCACCGGCUAACUUCGUG
Molecule: ribosomal RNA, 473 nt
Filed under: uncultured bacterium
Lineage: Bacteria
Description: bacterial SSU rRNA
Rfam family: Bacterial small subunit ribosomal RNA
Source: RNAcentral